Long non-coding RNA from Colius striatus (speckled mousebird), 272 nucleotides. RefSeq lists it as uncharacterized. Lineage: Eukaryota; Metazoa; Chordata; Aves; Coliiformes; Coliidae. The record is from RefSeq and is a predicted model, not a curated record. The transcript is spliced from 3 exons.
CUCACCCUUGAGCAAGUUCCUGGCAGCACCUGGGAGUGCGUGGAGGAGGUGCCCACGCCAGAGCAGGAAUAUGGAACUGCACCAAUUUUUCAGAGAAAACUGUUAUUUGUGCAUAACAAACGUCACUCCAUCAGAGCUUUGCAGGAACCAGAGGAUCAUCUGAGGAGACUUAAGUAAAUGCCUCAUGUGGCCUUCAGCAUGACCCUACUCUGCCUGUUUCUAGGGGAGGUUUUCUUCCUUUCCUCAUUGAUUAAAUAAACAUGAGCGAUCGU